UGGGGAAUUUUGGACAAUGGGCGAAAGCCUGAUCCAGCAAUGCCGCGUGUGUGAAGAAGGCCUUCGGGUUGUAAAGCACUUUUGUCCGGAAAGAAAUCCUUGGCUCUAAUACAGUCGGGGGAUGACGGUACCGGAAGAAUAAGCACCGGCUAACUACGUGCCAGCAGCCGCGGUAAUACGUAGGGUGCAAGCGUUAAUCGGAAUUACUGGGCGUAAAGCGUGCGCAGGCGGUUUGCUAAGACCGAUGUGAAAUCCCCGGGCUCAACCUGGGAACUGCAUUGGUGACUGGCAGGCUAGAGUAUGGCAGAGGGGGGUAGAAUUCCACGUGUAGCAGUGAAAUGCGUAGAGAUGUGGAGGAAUACCGAUGGCGAAGGCAGCCCCCUGGGCCAAUACUGACGCUCAUGCACGAAAAGCGUGGGGGAGCAAAACAGGAUUAGAUACCCUGGUAGUCCACGCCCUAAACGAUGUCAACUAGUUGUUGGGGAUUCAUUUCCUUAGUAACGUAGCUAACGCGUGAAGUUGACCGCCUGGGGGAGUA
This 538-nucleotide ribosomal RNA is filed under the name uncultured bacterium. Its description in RNAcentral is "partial 16S ribosomal RNA". It matches the Rfam family "Bacterial small subunit ribosomal RNA", at positions 355 to 882 of the family's 1533-position model. The record is from RNAcentral.